UACGUAGGGAGCAAGCGUUGUUCGGAUUUACUGGGCGUAAAGGGCGCGUAGGCGACGCGGUAAGUCACUUGUGAAAUCUCUGAGCUUAACUCAGAACGGCCAAGUGAUACUGCAGUGCUAGAGUGCAGAAGGGGCAAUCGGAAUUCUUGGUGUAGCGGUGAAAUGCGUAGAUAUCAAGAGGAACACCUGAGGUGAAGACGGGUUGCUGGGCUGACACUGACGCUGAGGCGCGAAAGCCAGGGGAGCAAACGGG
Molecule: ribosomal RNA, 253 nt
Filed under: uncultured bacterium
Lineage: Bacteria
Description: partial 16S ribosomal RNA
Rfam family: Bacterial small subunit ribosomal RNA
Source: RNAcentral